This 484-nucleotide ribosomal RNA is filed under the name uncultured bacterium. Its description in RNAcentral is "partial 16S ribosomal RNA". It matches the Rfam family "Bacterial small subunit ribosomal RNA", at positions 30 to 507 of the family's 1533-position model. The record is from RNAcentral.
AUUGAACGCUGGCGGCAGGCUUAACACAUGCAAGUCGAGCGGAUGAAGGGAGCUUGCUCCUGGUUUCAGCGGCGGACGGGUGAGUAAUGCCUAGGAAUCUGCCUGGUAGUGGGGGAUAACGUCUGGAAAAGGGCGCUAAUACCGCCUACGUCCUGAGGGAGAAAGAGGGGGAUCUUCGGACCUCACGCUAUCAGAUGAGCCUAGGUCGGAUUAGCUAGUUGGUGGGGUAAAGGCCUACCAAGCGGACGAUCCGUAACUGGUCUGAGAGGAUGAUCAGUCACAUUAGAACUGGAACAGGGUCAAUGGGCCUAAGGGAGGGAGCAGUGGGCAAUAUUGGACAGUAGGCGGGAGCCUGACCCAGCCAUGCCGCGUGUGUGAAGAAGGUCUUCGGAUUGUAAAGCACGUUAAGUUGGGAGGAAGGGCAGUAAGUUGAUACCUUGCUGUUUUGACGUUACCAACAGAAGAAGCACCGGCUAACUUCGUG